GACUUUUAGCGGUGGAUCACUCGGCAAGUGCAUUGAUGAACGCAGCUAGCUGCGAGAAUUAAUGUGAAUUGCUGGACACAUUGAUCAUCGACACUUUGAACGCAUUUGCGGCCCCGGGUUCCUCCAGGGGCUACGCCUGUCUGAGCGUCG
RNAcentral lists this ribosomal RNA (150 nucleotides) under Echinops telfairi (small Madagascar hedgehog). RNAcentral's name for it is "5.8S ribosomal RNA (ENSETEG00000026697.1)". It matches the Rfam family "5.8S ribosomal RNA". Rfam says of the family: 5.8S ribosomal RNA (5.8S rRNA) is a component of the large subunit of the eukaryotic ribosome. Lineage: Eukaryota; Metazoa; Chordata; Mammalia; Afrosoricida; Tenrecidae. The record is from RNAcentral.